UCCACACGCCAAGAGAGAGACUCUUAGGCAUGUGGUUCUCUGGUUUUUGGAACCCAACAGCAAGCCCAAUUAAAACACUUCGAACCCACUUCAAGACCAAAUCCAAUUUGGCUCAAAUUGGUUCUAAAUUAGCCCAAAUCAGAACCCGAUUCAAAUUCGAUUCGAAUCUAAAUGCUAGGGUUUACAACAUGUGCUAGCAUGUUCAACUUGCAAACAUGGUUUAAUCAAAUUAAACCCAUGAUCAAUUCCCUUUGUGUGUGACCCAUUGGGUUUCACAUCUAGCCAGC
This 287-nucleotide long non-coding RNA is filed under the name Elaeis guineensis (African oil palm). Its description in RNAcentral is "long non-coding RNA (EGUI_LNC057177)". The record is from RNAcentral. Lineage: Eukaryota; Viridiplantae; Streptophyta; Magnoliopsida; Arecales; Arecaceae.